AAAGAUUUUUUUAAAAGAAACUAAGUCAGUUCCUGAAGAGCUUAUGAGAUGUUCUAGGCAACGAGCCAGCAGACGCAGAGGAACAGAUUGUUCUUACCUGCUUGAUGCUCUUGCGUUGGGAAAGUUUGGGUCAUGCGUGUGGUGUGCUAGGCUUAUUAUCUGUGCCCGAUCGCUUUGUGCUGGGGGCAGGCGUUCAGAUCCAAGGACUGCAGUUUUAAGAUUCCUUUUAUGAAAACGGCCAGUGUUCCCGGGAUCCUCUGAUGCAGUCUCCCUUUGAGUAGCUCCUGUGUUCUGUAGGAAGCAGGAGAGAGGGUGCGAGUCAGAGGAGACUUUUGCACCAGUAGAUGGCACAGGCAGCAAGCGCUUGGGAGUAAAGCGUGCAUAAAUGAUAAAAACUUGGUGCAUUUAUUGUAACAUGCGGGGUUUUCAGUUAUUGUGCCAAAAUGAAACCUAGAAAUGGUUUGAUGAAAGCUUCCUCUAGGUGGUGUUUAGUGUCUUUGCAUAGAUUUUAUCUGUAGUAAGGAACACUUUUCUAAUAUAACUGUAACCUGUGUAAAAACCCUCUUAAAUAUCUGGGUAAGACUGUGCUUCAAACGCAGGGGUGGUAACUGGAGGGGUAACAUUACCAGGACACAAAUGCAAACUUAUUAACUGUAGCAGCUUCUGUUUACAGGUGUGUUUACUGAAAAAGCAACCAGUGCGCGCAGGAUGAUCAGCAGUAUCUGUGCCCUUGCUUAUUGACAAGCUAUCUUCAUGCUAGCUUGCACAGUAUUUUUCUGCCACAGUAUAUUUAGGUAUAAGUUUUAACUACCUUUAUGAAUGUUAAGCUGACAAUCCAGUCAGCUUGGAUGGAUCCAGCAAUCCAGUGCUUUGGAUGAUUCAUUUUUCCAGGAUUACAAGUGAGGUUUUUUUCAAGUAUAAGUGCUCUAAUCGAAGACAAAACUCACCAUUAAGAGCAAACUUGAACUUGAGACUUGGAGGAGAUGCCGUUGACCUUUGCAGAAGCCUGAUGGCUUUCCAUCUGAGUGUGACUGGAAAAGUCACAGUGUAUGUGCAGAUGCCUGGAGGAUGAAGAGCCUGCUAGGACUUCAGCAAGACUGGGCUUCCUUUGGUGGAUGUCGUUAGUUCUUGGCAGCACAGGGAAAGCUACUGAAAAUUCAGACGUGCUCAGAGUAUACGGCAAGGACAGCACUUACAGGGAGGGUCGUUGACAGCCUUAUCCCUUCCCUGUGUUUUAGAACCAGGGGACACUCCUCCCAGAGGGAUUCGGGCGAUGCUGAAUUGUUAGAAACCCCAGUCCUAUGUUAAACCUAGCCCUCAGUGUAUGAGAUGGAUGCGCCUGACCCUGGACCAGGCACCUCCUCAUGUUGCCUGAAGGUUGCUCCCUGAGGAAGAGGAUGCUGACAAUCCUGAAAGAAGAUACAGCGAUGCCCCAAAGCAGUCUCUGUUACAGCUGGAUAUUAUUCCUAAAUGCAGCAUCGAGGUUUAGGAGCCCGCCGGGCAAACAAGCCAUGCCGUCUCCUUGCAGCUACUGGAAGCACGAUGAGGACGGACAUUUCUAUCACUUCUCUCCUCUGCCGGCCCCGGCUCUGGUGGAGCAGACCCUUGGACAAGGGUUGAGCCUUCAGGAGGCUGAACCAAAGUCACCUCGCGUCAGCUGAUCUAAUCCAAAAAUAUGUCUGUCCCUGUUUCCUCCUGGGAAGGUCAGUGUUUUCGUUAAUGGAAAUUAAUGAGCCUGCUGGCGUCAGCGGGAGUCUUUGCAUGGAGUUUUGGUCUUGGGAAAUAAGGAACAAUAUAAAAAGUAAGAAAUGGGUUUUGGGGGUAAUUUCUCGGUAUUGAGAGACUAUGGAUGAGCAGAAAACAUGAAACACACACUGGAGGAAAGAACUGAUGAUAAGCAAAACAAAGAUCCCUGUACCUCUGACUAUUUCAACUGGGAUGUCAUGUUUUCACCCCGAGUUUCCCAAAUACUCUCCUUUGUGGCAUAUUUUUCUUUCAAUUUUCAGAAAUUCAUAGAGCCUUCCUCUUUAUUUCAGCAGCGUUACCCGUGCAGUUAAAUUCUGAAGUGCAAACCACUGCGUUAGAGAGGAGGGUGAGUGAAACCAGUUAAUCCGACGGUAGUUGCUGGUCCCAACAAACUCACUACAGCGGUGAGUGGUGGUACCAAACCAGCCGUUGCAGAUGUGUUCUGGUUUUUUUUUUUAUUACUGUUAUUUUAUUCUUGAUGGCUUUAAGUACAGGAUCUUUUUCAAAAUAGAACUUUUGACCUCUAUGUGUUUCAUAGAUGAUAUUUGCACAGAGCUCAGCUUACCAGCCCCAAUGCUGGAGCUCCUCUACCCUGGCUUAGCUGGCAGCGUGAGCCAGGCACUGUCCAGGCAGCUCCACCUUACCUGCUCUCUGUCAGCGUAUUUGUCAAACCAGCUCUGACAAGAUUUUUAUCUAAUAUUUUCUUGGUUUUGUACUAUUUCGGAUUGACUCGUAUCGGUCACUCGCUCUGGAUUUGUCUUUUUU
Molecule: long non-coding RNA, 2511 nt
Organism: Egretta garzetta (little egret)
Lineage: Eukaryota; Metazoa; Chordata; Aves; Pelecaniformes; Ardeidae
Exons: 3
Source: RefSeq, a predicted model, not a curated record